This 720-nucleotide ribosomal RNA is filed under the name uncultured Thermaceae bacterium. RNAcentral describes it as "bacterial SSU rRNA". It matches the Rfam family "Bacterial small subunit ribosomal RNA", at positions 603 to 1327 of the family's 1533-position model. The record is from RNAcentral. Lineage: Bacteria; Thermotogati; Deinococcota; Deinococci; Thermales; Thermaceae.
UGGGGCUCAACCCCAGGGGUGCGUCGGAUACUGUGAGGCCAGACGGUCGGAGGGGGUAGCGGAAUUUCCGGAGUAGCGGUGAAAUGCGCAGAUACCGGAAGGAACGCCAAUAGCGAAGGCAGCUACCUGGACGACUUGUGACGCUGAGGCGCGAAAGCGUGGGGAGCAAACCGGAUUAGAUACCCGGGUAGUCCACGCCCUAAACCAUGAGUGCUGGGUGUCCGGCUUCUGCUGAGUGCCGUAGCUAACGCGCUAAGCACUCCGCCUGGGAAGUACGCACGCAAGUGUGAAACUCAAAGGAAUUGACGGGGGCCCGCACAAGCGGUGGAGCAUGUGGUUUAAUUCGAAGCGACGCGAAGAACCUUACCAGGCCUUGACAUGCCCGGAACCCCUCUGAAAGGAGGGGGUGCCCGCAAGGGAGCCGGGACACAGGUGCUGCAUGGCCGUCGUCAGCUCGUGUCGUGAGAUGUUGGGUUAAGUCCCGCAACGAGCGCAACCCCUAUCCCUAGUUGCCAGCAGUUCGGCUGGGCACUCUAUGGAGACUGCCUGCGAAAGCAGGAGGAAGGCGGGGAUGACGUCUGGUCCGCAUGGCCCUUACGGCCUGGGCGACACACGUGCUACAAUGCCAAGGACAGAGCGCUGCUACCUCGCGAGAGGACGCCAAUCGCAAAAACCUUGGCUCAGUUCGGAUUGGAGUCUGCAACUCGACUCCAUGAAGCC